AUUGAACGCUGGCGGCAGGCCUAACACAUGCAAGUCGAGCGGAUGAAGGGAGCUGGCUCCUGGAUUCAGCGGCGGACGGGUGAGUAAUGCCUAGGAAUCUGCCUGGUAGUGGGGGAUAACGUCCGGAAACGGGCGCUAAUACCGCAUACGUCCUGAGGGAGAAAGUGGGGGAUCUUCGGACCUCACGCUAUCAGAUGAGCCUAGGUCGGAUUAGCUAGUUGGUGGGGUAAAGGCCUACCAAGGCGACGAUCCGUAACUGGUCUGAGAGGAUGAUCAGUCACACUGGAACUGCGACACGGUCCAGACUCCUACGGGAGGCAGCAGUGGGGAAUAUUGGACUAUGGGCGAAAGCCUGAUCCAGCCAUGCCGCGUGUGUGAAGAAGGUCUUCGGAUUGUAAAGCACUUUAAGUUGGGAGGAAGGGCAGUAAGUUAAUACCUUGCUGUUUUGACGUUACCAACAGAAUAAGCACCGGCUAACUUCGUG
Molecule: ribosomal RNA, 484 nt
Filed under: uncultured bacterium
Lineage: Bacteria
Description: partial 16S ribosomal RNA
Rfam family: Bacterial small subunit ribosomal RNA
Source: RNAcentral